RNAcentral lists this long non-coding RNA (688 nucleotides) under Urocitellus parryii (Arctic ground squirrel). RNAcentral describes it as "lncRNA (ENSUPAG00010009645.1)". Lineage: Eukaryota; Metazoa; Chordata; Mammalia; Rodentia; Sciuridae. The record is from RNAcentral.
AUGUUAUUUGUCUAUUUACAAGCGUUCUAUUUCUUAUCGUGAUUAAAAACUCUCCUUUUAGUUAGACCUGGUGACAGUGAUGCACCCCUGUGAUCUCCAGCACCCAGAGAAGUCCUGGGAAGAGAAUCGGAAGUUCAAGGCCAGCCAGGACAACCUAGUGAGACCCUGUCUCAAAUAAAAUAAGAAAAGGUCAAAUAGUACAAAAACCAAAACAAAACCAUUAACUGAGGUUCGGGAAACACUUCUUUGAAUCCAUUCCAUCAUUCUGCACAUCAGGGAACAAAGGUUUGGAGAAGAUAAGAAGCUAAGCGAGGACAUUGUUCUCAGGCAAGCCUGCGCAGCCUCGGACUGUCUGGCUUGAAACAAGAAGAUAUUGACGACAGGAGAAAGAACUGCAGGGGAGCCCGAAUCCAGUGAAACAGGGACCUGACCUUUCCCGGCUCAUGGCCCCAGAGCUCUCAGCCCUCCCUCACGCUGCAUUCCAGGACAUCAUCUCACUGUGCUGGUUAGAACUUCUGAGAUCCAACUCCUGCCCAGCCUUCUGACUAGCUGGAACCACAGCUCCGCCUCUGAAAUGCGCUGUCCAUCAAGUCGUCAACGAACUCUAAUUGGCUAAUUCUACACAAGGUGCUAGAACGCCCUGCCCACUUCCGCCCCAGCAGAAAUAAACGAUAGGGCACCCGUGUCA